UGCCAGCCUCCGCGGUACUACUGAUUGUGCAAGCGUUGUUCGGAAUGAUUGGGCGUAAAGCGCGUGUAGGCGGUUCGUUAAGUCUGAUGUGAAAGCCCGGUGCUCAACCCCGUAAGUGCAUUGGAAACUGGCGAACUUGAGUACGGGAGAGGAAAGUGGAAUUCCGAGUGUAGGGGUGAAAUCCGUAGAUAUUCGGAGGAAAACCAGUGGCGAAGGCGGCUUUCUGGACCGAUACUGACUCUGAGACGCGAACGCGGGGGGAGCAAACAGGAUUAGAUA
Molecule: ribosomal RNA, 279 nt
Filed under: uncultured bacterium
Lineage: Bacteria
Description: partial 16S ribosomal RNA
Rfam family: Bacterial small subunit ribosomal RNA
Source: RNAcentral